GAUCCGGUGGCCAUGCCCGCCGUGCCGGGAGGUGCUGCGGGAUCUGUGCCGCUGUGUGCCUCCCUCCCUCUCUCCUUCCCUCCCUGCCCCCAUCAGAGAGGCCUUGCCAGGCCGAGUCUCCGUCGGCUGGUUGAGACUUGAUUCAGAGUAGUUUCUGUAAGUCCAUCAGGGCUGUGAACGCGGUGGGAACGCUGGCACGCAUCAUCUCUUCAGUGUGUUAAUAGCAGCUGUUGUUUUUAAUUUUAUUUUGCGCUGUUCUGGUUCCUGUUUCUUGCAGAGACUCUCGAGACAAGCUGGGACAGCAGCAUUUCUGUUGGCAGGAUGCUGUGUGCAUGCACACGGUGUGUGCCCGACAGGCAGGGUCACAGUCACUGAGUCUUCUGUGACCAGCGUGAGAUGUGGAGCCUCUUUGAGGAGAAUUUCUUGCAGCAGUUGACUCUUGUGGCUGGGAUUUUUCAUCUGUGAGGAGUGUCUUUCCAGUGUCUCCCUUUUCUGUAGCAAGUAAAAGUGUCAAGAAGACUGUUGGCCAUUACAGCAUUGUGUGUGGAAAGCAUUUUUGUGACAGAGCAGAGAAUGCACGUCACCAUUUUGCAAAGGAGCCAGUAAUCCUGAGUGAGGCUUUCAUUGCCUGCUGAUCUCAAGUGGGGAAUUUGUGCUUUUCCACUGCCUGCUGGGCUGCCCAGAAGAGACUGAGAGCAGAGACUCUCUGCUUCUCCUUUUAAAUUCUUGCCACAACCAACAAGGUCUGAAGAGGUUUAUUUGAGACACUAAUUGUGGAUCUUGUAUUCCUCUUUUGCCCAAAUCUGAUAACUUUAUCAAAAUGAUGCAAAGCUGUACACUUGAGAAGGGGUAAAAAGGCCAUCCCCAAGGUUCACAAAUGACAGUAGCAGUCAGAGAGGAUUUUUUUUGCUUCAACAUAUACAUAUUUUUUGUUUCGACUGUGUCUGGUGCAUAGAUGUAACUGUCUCCCUUUGCAUUUUGGGCUCUGCUGCUGAGGAAGAAAAAUACACUGUAAGUGCAGAUGAACCACCAGAAAUUAAAAAGCCUACCAGUGCUGGAUUUUAUCAAGACAGUAUCUCGGUGUGUUGCAUGUGCUGGCUGGCUGGAGGUCCCAUCCCUGGCAAACAGAUGGUGUAUGGUGAGCUUUUAAGUAGCCAGUUGCAAGGCUGGAGGUGACCAGGCUGCAGGAUGCUG
Molecule: long non-coding RNA, 1194 nt
Filed under: Zonotrichia albicollis (white-throated sparrow)
Lineage: Eukaryota; Metazoa; Chordata; Aves; Passeriformes; Passerellidae
Description: lncRNA (ENSZALG00000008328.1)
Source: RNAcentral